GAGGCACCCAAUUAGCAAUCAAAUUAAGAAGGGAGGAAGGAAGAGAAUUAAAAACCAAUCAAUUCAUUUUUCACCACCCCUUUAAUUACAAAAGGACAAAAGCCAACUGUUACUCUGUUAGCCAACAGUAGGCAAAAAUGCAUAUGAACAGCUUUUGAAUACAUAUUUGAUUAUUUUGCAAAGUAGUAAUGUUUAAGGAAGAAAACAAAGAAAAGCUCAAUAAGACAUCGGAUUCCAAGACAAAGCAAGGUAUACAGUAUUUUUUCUCUCUAAG
This 274-nucleotide unclassified non-coding RNA is filed under the name Hevea brasiliensis (rubber tree). The record is from RNAcentral. Lineage: Eukaryota; Viridiplantae; Streptophyta; Magnoliopsida; Malpighiales; Euphorbiaceae.